RNAcentral lists this unclassified non-coding RNA (535 nucleotides) under Hevea brasiliensis (rubber tree). Lineage: Eukaryota; Viridiplantae; Streptophyta; Magnoliopsida; Malpighiales; Euphorbiaceae. The record is from RNAcentral.
GGGAAACUGAGGAAUUUGAUGGGAAUGGGGUUUUUGGCGAAGAAGUUACUGAAUUGGGGCUAGCUGAGCCUAUGAGGGUGGAGGAUCGCGGUGCUGAGGAGCCGAUAUUGGAUGUGGGCUUCGAUGCGGAGCAGCGGAGAGUAGCAAUUGGGAGGGUUGAGGAAAUUGUGGAUGCCGAGAGGACGGAAGAUGGCGGUGAAUUGGCGGUGGGCAGUGAAUUGGCGGUGGGAGCGGGUGAGGGGGAUGCGAUUUCGGGUUGUGAGGGGGCAAAGGGAGUGUCGGUUUGGUUGAAGAUGCCGCUUGAGCUGCUGAAGAUGUGUGUUUUGAAGGUGAGGCCUGUUUGGUCUAUCUCUAUUGCUGCAGGUAUUAUAGGGAUGCUGAUGCUGGGGAGGAGAUUGUACAAGAUGAAGGGCAAGAAUCGGGGGAUCCCACUGAGGAUCAGCUUGGAUGAUAAGAAGGCAUCCCAACUCGUAGUCCGUGCUGGCCGUUUGAGCGAAAGCUUCUCAGCAGUGAGGCGUGUGCCCUUUGUCAGAUU